This 497-nucleotide ribosomal RNA is filed under the name uncultured bacterium. RNAcentral describes it as "partial 16S ribosomal RNA". It matches the Rfam family "Bacterial small subunit ribosomal RNA", at positions 28 to 507 of the family's 1533-position model. The record is from RNAcentral.
GACGAACGCUGGCGGCGUGCCUAAUACAUGCAAGUAGAACGCUGAAGCUUGGUGCUUGCACCGAGCGGAUGAGUUGCGAACGGGUGAGUAACGCGUAGGUAACCUGCCUGGUAGCGGGGGAUAACUAUUGGAAACGAUAGCUAAUACCGCAUAAUAGUAGAUGUUGCAUGACAUUUGCUUAAAAGGUGCAAUUGCAUCACUACCAGAUGGACCUGCGUUGUAUUAGCUAGUUGGUGAGGUAACGGCUCACCAAGGCAACGAUACAUAGCCGACCUGAGAGGGUGAUCGGCCACACUGGGACUGAGACACGGCCCAGACUCCUACGGGAGGCAGCAGUAGGGAAUCUUCGGCAAUGGACGGAAGUCUGACCGAGCAACGCCGCGGGAGUGAAGAAGGUUUUCGGAUCGUAAAGCUCUGUUGUAAGAGAAGAACGAGUGUGAGAGUGGAAAGUUCACACUGUGACGGUAUCUUACCAGAAAGGGACGGCUAACUACGUG